GAUGAACGCUGGCGGCGUGCCUAAUACAUGCAAGUCGAGCGAACGGACGAGAAGCUUGCUUUUCUGAUGUUAGCGGCGGACGGGUGAGUAACACGUGGAUAACCUACCUAUAAGACUGGGAUAACUUCGGGAAACCGGAGCUAAUACCGGAUAAUAUUUUGAACCGCAUGGUUCAAAAGUGAAAGACGGUCUUGCUGUCACUUAUAGAUGGAUCCGCGCUGCAUUAGCUAGUUGGUAAGGUAACGGCUUACCAAGGCAACGAUGCAUAGCCGACCUGAGAGGGUGAGCGGCCACACUGGAACGGAGACACGGUCCAGACUCCUACGGGAGGCAGCAGUAGGGAAUCUUCCGCAAUGGGCGAAAGCCUGACGGAGCAACGCCGCGUGAGUGAUGAAGGUCUUCGGAUCGUAAAACUCUGUUAUUAGGGAAGAACAUAUGUGUAAGUAACUGUGCACAUCUUGACGGUAACUAAUCAGAAAGCCACGGCUAACUACGUG
Molecule: ribosomal RNA, 497 nt
Filed under: uncultured bacterium
Lineage: Bacteria
Description: partial 16S ribosomal RNA
Rfam family: Bacterial small subunit ribosomal RNA
Source: RNAcentral